GGUUCUUGACAUUGACCGACGGUGUUAAUCGUUUUGAAGGUGCAAUUUUGUCCAAGAUCAAAGAGGAAGAAAUUUGCAUCCACAAAUUGGUGCUUUCAUUGAAAGUUGAGAUUCAUACUCGUAGAAGACUCUCGCGCAAAAAUGUUUUUUUCUCUAUUUUCUAGUCCACUUGUAUUUUUCGUACGUUCUUAUUAUUAGAAUUUUU
Molecule: long non-coding RNA, 205 nt
Filed under: Malus domestica (apple)
Lineage: Eukaryota; Viridiplantae; Streptophyta; Magnoliopsida; Rosales; Rosaceae
Description: long non-coding RNA (MDOM_LNC011983)
Source: RNAcentral